Molecule: long non-coding RNA, 261 nt
Filed under: Gopherus agassizii (Agassiz's desert tortoise)
Lineage: Eukaryota; Metazoa; Chordata; Testudines; Testudinidae
Description: lncRNA (ENSGAGG00000019561.1)
Source: RNAcentral
GGGACUGCAAUUUAUUCCUGCGUCAUCUGUUUUCAAGAUCUUCCUGUUUUUUUCAAGACUGGUGGAAAUACAAUAGCAGAACACUAACAAAUUGAGAGGAUGAAGGGAAAAUGUGAUGUGUACAACAAAGAAGAUUAUAGAUGGUGUAAACUUCCAAAUAUUAAAAUAUAGGAAAGGAGAAAGCAAGCCCAGUUACUGUAAGUAUGCAGAUUUCAUGAACAAUUUCUGAAUUUUGUACUAUCUCUGAAUUAGCUUCAGUAG